AGAGUUUGAUCCUGGCUCAGGACGAACGCUGGCGGCGUGCUUAACACAUGCAAGUCGAGCGAUGAAGCUCCUUCGGGAGUGGAUUAGCGGCGGACGGGUGAGUAACACGUGGGUAACCUGCCUCAUAGAGGGGAAUAGCCUUUCGAAAGGAAGAUUAAUACCGCAUAAGAUUGUAGUACCGCAUGGUAUAGCAAUUAAAGGAGUAAUCCGCUAUGAGAUGGACCCGCGUCGCAUUAGCUAGUUGGUGAGGUAACUGCUCACCAAGGCGACGGUGCGUAGCCGACCUGAGAGGGUGAUCGGCCACAUUGGGACUGAGACACGGCCCAGACUCCUACGGGAGGCAGCAGUGGGGAAUAUUGCACAAUGGGGGAAACCCUGAUGCAGCAACGCCGCGUGAGUGAUGACGGUCUUCGGAUUGUAAAGCUCUGUCUUUAGGGACGAUAAUGACGGUACCUAAGGAGGAAGCCACGGCUAACUACGUGCCAGCAGACGCGGUAAUACGUAGGUGGCAAGCGUUGUCCGGAUU
Molecule: ribosomal RNA, 526 nt
Filed under: uncultured Clostridium sp.
Lineage: Bacteria; Bacillati; Bacillota; Clostridia; Eubacteriales; Clostridiaceae
Description: bacterial SSU rRNA
Rfam family: Bacterial small subunit ribosomal RNA
Source: RNAcentral